UACGUAGGCAGCAAGCGUUGUUCGGAGUUACUGGGCGUAAAGAGUGCGUAGGCGGUUUCCUAAGUUUGGUGUGAAAUCUCCCGGCUUAACUGGGAGGGUGCGCCGAAGACUGGGGAGCUAGAGGAUGGGAAAGGAAAGUGGAAUUCCUGGUGUAGCGGUGAAAUGCGUAGAUAUCAGGAGGAACACCGGUGGUGUAGACGGCUUUCUGGACCGUAACUGACGCUGAGACACGAAAGCGUGGGUAGCAAACAGG
This 253-nucleotide ribosomal RNA is filed under the name uncultured bacterium. RNAcentral describes it as "partial 16S ribosomal RNA". It matches the Rfam family "Bacterial small subunit ribosomal RNA", at positions 524 to 776 of the family's 1533-position model. The record is from RNAcentral.